AGUUUUAAAAAUAAAUUACUAGUAUAUGUAUCGUAAGAAAAUUGUGACAUUUUCAAUUACUUAUAAUAAUUAUUGAAAUAUACACAAUUUUAAUUACUAUUUCGGUAAUGUAAACCCUGAAAACUUCUAGCCCACCCGAUAGCAGUGAGUUUUAAUGUUGCUAAAAUCAUAAUUAUAUCUAAAAGAAUUAUAAAAGACGGCAGGGGUUUUCAAAGACCUUGAGAAAUUGAAUAAACAUUUUGUAUUGUAUACGUGAGCAUAGACGUGACUUAGAUUUCAUCGGCAGCGAUAGCAUAGCUAAUGAUCGGUGCCACUUAAUGAACCAAAAAAAUCCCCUUUCAAUUGGGGGUAUGGUUAGUCUCCCCUACCAAUUAAAUAUAUGUAUAACUUAAA
Molecule: non-coding RNA, 393 nt
Organism: Cinara cedri
Lineage: Eukaryota; Metazoa; Arthropoda; Insecta; Hemiptera; Aphididae
Source: the annotation of a GenBank genome assembly